Molecule: small RNA, 207 nt
Filed under: Arabidopsis thaliana (thale cress)
Lineage: Eukaryota; Viridiplantae; Streptophyta; Magnoliopsida; Brassicales; Brassicaceae
Description: ATSL248490
Source: RNAcentral
UUGAGGAAUACGUUUAAAGAUUAAAGAUUGAAUGUUGAGGAAAAUUAAUUUAUUGAGAAAAUUUUCAAGUUAUUGAUUGAUAGAGUUAAUCUCAGUAAGAGACAACCCUCCAAAAAUAGGCGUAUGCCGCUUGGUACGACAAGCACACGGUAUUCUUUAGUAAAAGGCGAAAGAAUAGUUCGCUAUGUGCUUAUUGCACGGCUCCGU